GGCGGUUUGUCGCGUCUGCUGUGAAAUCCCGAGGCUCAACCUCGGGCCUGCAGUGGGUACGGGCAGACUAGAGUGCGGUAGGGGAGAUUGGAAUUCCUGGUGUAGCGGUGGAAUGCGCAGAUAUCAGGAGGAACACCGAUGGCGAAGGCAGAUCUCUGGGCCGUAACUGACGCUGAGGAGCGAAAGGGUGGGGAGCAAACAGGCUUAGAUACCCUGGUAGUCCACCCCGUAAACGUUGGGAACUAGUUGUGGGGUCCAUUCCACGGAUUCCGUGACGCAGCUAACGCAUUAAGUUCCCCGCCUGGGGAGUACGGCCGCAGGGCUAAAACUCAAAGGAAUUGACGGGGACCCGCACAAGCGGCGGAGCAUGCGGAUUAAUUCGAUGCAACGCGAAGAACCUUACCAAGGCUUGACAUAUACGAGAACGGGCCAGAAAUGGUCAACUCUUUGGACACUCGUAAACAGGUGGUGCAUGGUUGUCGUCAGCUCGUGUCGUGAGAUGUUGGGUUAAGUCCCGCAACGAGCGCAACCCUCGUUCUAUGUUGCCAGCACGUAAUGGUGGGAACUCAUGGGAUACUGCCGGGGUCAACUCGGAGGAAGGUGGGGAUGACGUCAAAUCAUCAUGCCCCUUAUGUCUUGGGCUUCACGCAUGCUACAAUGGCCGGUACAAAGGGCUGCAAUACCGUGAGGUGGAGCGAAUCCCAAAAAGCCGGUCCCAGUUCGGAUUGAGGUCUGCAACUCGACCUCAUGAAG
Molecule: ribosomal RNA, 753 nt
Filed under: uncultured bacterium
Lineage: Bacteria
Description: bacterial SSU rRNA
Rfam family: Bacterial small subunit ribosomal RNA
Source: RNAcentral